AACACAAAGGGAAACUUGUAUUAUAACCCAAGGAAAAGAAAGCAUUACUCCAGUCAGAAACUACUGCUUUCCCAAGUGACAGAACCAGAAAAAUCACAAUAUCAGUCCCUCUGGCAGGAGACAGAAGAAAAUACGGAGAAUAUGGACUUCAAUAUCUUAACCCACGACAACCAAGAUAUCUUGCCAAAAGUGAUAAAGAAAGCACCUGCAUUCGCCGAAAGGCUCUGUAUCUCAUGUUGCAGAUGUGGUCCCAGGCACCAAAACCUACAAAAGAAAGAAUCUAUAUAUAGGCCAGAGCAACCUUAUGGGACCACACCCUUCCUAGGCUCUCCUUGUCUUUCUAACCUUUGAAGUAAGAGGUUGUUUUCAGUGUUCUCCAAUGACAAACUGGAAAAUA
Molecule: long non-coding RNA, 397 nt
Organism: Leopardus geoffroyi (Geoffroy's cat)
Lineage: Eukaryota; Metazoa; Chordata; Mammalia; Carnivora; Felidae
Exons: 2
Source: RefSeq, a predicted model, not a curated record